ACGCCCCUAGGCUGCGUGGAGUUCCUCUCCCGCCCCACCAUGGCCUUUGUGCGGCUCCGGGAGGCCGUGGAGUUGGACGCAGUGUUGGAGGUGCCAGUGCCUGUGCGUUUCCUCUUCCUGCUGCUGGGCCCGAGUAGCGCCAACAUGGACUACCACGAGAUCGGCCGCUCCAUCUCCACUCUCAUGUCAGACAAGGUCAGCUACCCUCCUCCUCUGGGCCCUGCUUCCUGGAGCCCAUCCUGGGCCAGUCUUGAUCCCCAUGACUGCCUCCCGCCCACUGGCCUUGCCCACCCUCAGCUCCAGGCCCUCAGCCCUCUUCUUUGUGCCCUCCCCGAUCCCCAUCCUGCUUUGGCAGCAAUUCCACGAGGCAGCCUACCUGGCUGACGAGCGGGAGGACCUGCUGACGGCCAUCAACGCCUUCCUGGACUGCAGCGUGGUGCUGCCGCCCUCAGAAGUGCAGGGCGAGGAGCUGCUGCGCUCUGUGGCCCACUUCCAGCGCCAGAUGCUCAAGAAGCGAGAGGAGCAGGGCCGGCUGCUGCCUACAGGGGCUGGGCUGGAGCCCAAAUCUGCCCAAGAUAAGGCGCUCCUGCAGAUGGUAGAGGCGGCAGGGGCAGCUGAAGAUGAUCCCCUUCGGCGGACGGGGCGGCCCUUCGGGGGGCUGAUCCGAGAUGUGCGGCGCCGCUAUCCCCACUACCUGAGUGACUUCCGAGAUGCACUUGACCCUCAGUGCCUGGCUGCAGUCAUCUUCAUCUACUUUGCCGCCCUGUCUCCUGCCAUCACCUUUGGGGGGCUG
RNAcentral lists this small RNA (793 nucleotides) under Pongo abelii (Sumatran orangutan). RNAcentral's name for it is "retained intron". The record is from RNAcentral. Lineage: Eukaryota; Metazoa; Chordata; Mammalia; Primates; Hominidae.